CACUCCUGCGGGAGGCAGCAGUGGGGAAUCUUGCGCAAUGGGCGAAAGCCUGACGCAGCCAUGCCGCGUGAAUGAUGAAGGUCUUAGGAUUGUAAAAUUCUUUCACCGGGGACGAUAAUGACGGUACCCGGAGAAGAAGCCCCGGCUAACUUCGUGCCAGCAGCCGCGGUAAUACGAAGGGGGCUAGCGUUGCUCGGAAUUACUGGGCGUAAAGGGAGCGUAGGCGGACAUUUAAGUCAGGGGUGAAAUCCCGGGGCUCAACCUCGGAAUUGCCUUUGAUACUGGGUGUCUUGAGUAUGAGAGAGGUGUGUGGAACUCCGAGUGUAGAGGUGAAAUUCGUAGAUAUUCGGAAGAACACCAGUGGCGAAGGCGACACACUGGCUCAUUACUGACGCUGAGGCUCGAAAGCGUGGGGAGCAAACAGGAUUAGAAACCCGAGUAGUCC
RNAcentral lists this ribosomal RNA (445 nucleotides) under uncultured organism. RNAcentral's name for it is "partial 16S ribosomal RNA". It matches the Rfam family "Bacterial small subunit ribosomal RNA", at positions 334 to 796 of the family's 1533-position model. The record is from RNAcentral.